UACGUAGGUGGCGAGCGUUGUCCGGAAUUACUGGGCGUAAAGGAUGCGUAGGUGGAUAUUUAAGUGGGAUGUGAAAUCCCCGGGCUCAACCCGGGAACUGCAUUCCAAACUGGAUGUCUAGAGUGCAGGAGAGGAAAGCGGAAUUCCUAGUGUAGCGGUGAAAUGCGUAGAUAUUAGGAGGAACACCAGCGGCGAAGGCGGCUUUCUGGACUGUAACUGACACUGAGGCACGAAAGCGUGGGUAGCAAACAGG
RNAcentral lists this ribosomal RNA (253 nucleotides) under uncultured bacterium. RNAcentral describes it as "partial 16S ribosomal RNA". It matches the Rfam family "Bacterial small subunit ribosomal RNA", at positions 524 to 776 of the family's 1533-position model. The record is from RNAcentral.